RNAcentral lists this long non-coding RNA (211 nucleotides) under Setaria viridis. Its description in RNAcentral is "long non-coding RNA (SVIR_LNC005155)". The record is from RNAcentral. Lineage: Eukaryota; Viridiplantae; Streptophyta; Magnoliopsida; Poales; Poaceae.
UUAAGAUAGUAUUAGAAUUGUUUUUCGCAAAAGGCUUUAAUAGAAGUGAUAAUAUGCCAAAUAAAGUUAUGAACCUUUCAUUUCAUGAUUUGAACUACAAUGGAACAUGUGUCUUUAGCAUCAUUUUUUCUGAAAUUUUUUAAUCUUAUUUGUGAAAAUCUAGUUCAAGUAUCAAUUAAUUUUGAUAAACUUGCUUAAAACUCAUUUAAAC